RNAcentral lists this ribosomal RNA (253 nucleotides) under uncultured bacterium. RNAcentral's name for it is "partial 16S ribosomal RNA". It matches the Rfam family "Bacterial small subunit ribosomal RNA", at positions 524 to 776 of the family's 1533-position model. The record is from RNAcentral.
UACGAAGGUCCCAAGCGUUAUCCGGAUUUAUUGGGUUUAAAGGGUGCGUAGGCGGAUUAUUAAGUCAGUGGUGAAAGCUUCCAGCUUAACUGGAAAACUGCCAUUGAUACUGAUGAUCUUGAGUAUGAUUGAAGUGGGCGGAAUGUGUCAUGUAGCGGUGAAAUGCUUAGAUAUGACACAGAACACCGAUUGCGAAGGCAGCUCACUAAGCCAUAACUGACGCUGAUGCACGAAAGCGUGGGGAGCAAACAGG